Molecule: small nuclear RNA, 102 nt
Organism: Octodon degus (degu)
Lineage: Eukaryota; Metazoa; Chordata; Mammalia; Rodentia; Octodontidae
Source: Ensembl
UGCUUGUUUCCACAGCAAUAUACUAACAUUGGAAUGAUACAGAGAUCAACAUGACCUCUGUGAAAGUAUGACAAACAAAUUCAGGAAGUAUUCCAUAUUUUU